Molecule: transfer RNA, 67 nt
Filed under: Pherusa bengalensis
Lineage: Eukaryota; Metazoa; Annelida; Polychaeta; Terebellida; Flabelligeridae
Description: tRNA-Tyr
Source: RNAcentral
AGAUAGGUGGCCGAGUUUACAGGCAGUAGAUUGUAGCUCUUCCAACGGAUCCCACAUCCCCUAUCUA